This 517-nucleotide ribosomal RNA is filed under the name Saitozyma sp. DMKU-SK27. RNAcentral's name for it is "partial 28S ribosomal RNA". It matches the Rfam family "Eukaryotic large subunit ribosomal RNA", at positions 62 to 585 of the family's 3401-position model. Lineage: Eukaryota; Fungi; Basidiomycota; Tremellomycetes; Tremellales; Trimorphomycetaceae. The record is from RNAcentral.
AAACUAACAAGGAUUCCCUUAGUAGCGGCGAGCGAAGCGGGAAGAGCUCAAAUUUGAAAGCUGGCGUCCUACGGGCGUCCGCAUUGUAAUCUAUAGAGGCGUUUUCUGUGCUGGACCGUGUCCAAGUCCCUUGGAACAGGGUAUCAAAGAGGGUGACAAUCCCGUACUUGACACGACAACCAGUGCUCUGUGAUACGUCUUCUACGAGUCGAGUUGUUUGGGAAUGCAGCUCAAAAUGGGUGGUGAAUUCCAUCUAAAGCUAAAUAUUGGCGAGAGACCGAUAGCGAACAAGUACCGUGAGGGAAAGAUGAAAAGCACUUUGGAAAGAGAGUUAAACAGUAUGUGAAAUUGUUGAAAGGGAAACGAUGGAGGUCAGUCGUGUCUGUGGGAUUCAGCCGUCUCUGGCGGUGUACUUCCCACAGACGGGUCAACAUCAGUUUUGGCUGGCGGAUAAAGGCAGGAGGAAGGUGGCACCCCCGGGUGUGUUAUAGCCUCUUGUUGCAUACGCUGGCUGAGA